AUGUGCUUAAACAUGAUUACAAAUUACAGUAUAGAUGUGCUGAGAUGUAUUUAUAUUUUUAUUCAUUUUCUCACCCCUCUUUUUUUUUUUUUUUUUUUUUUUUUUUUUUUUUUUUUUUUUUUUUUUUUUUUUUUUUUUUUUUUUUUUUUUUUUUUUUUUUUUUUUUUUUUAAAAUUAUGUAUAAAUAAUUUUUCUUCUCCCCAGGAAAAAAAAAAAAAAAAGUUUGAAAGCCCUAACCACAAUGUAAGACAAAUAAAAAUAAUGCAGCAAAUCAGCUUCAUGCUUAGUGGUCAGCCUGCUGCCAAAAUCCCUUUCAGAGUGACCAUUAUGUGAGGCAGGUAAAAGUCAGACACCUUAAAAAUAGUGACAUUUUGGUUGCAGCAUGCAGUCUAUUAGUCUGCGGGGCAGAGAGAGGAUUGGGAGGGGGCUGUGGGUCAGAAAUGUCUUUCAGCCCCUUGCGAGCAUUUCUCCUCUGCACACAAAUGUGC
RNAcentral lists this long non-coding RNA (488 nucleotides) under Anas platyrhynchos platyrhynchos (common mallard). RNAcentral's name for it is "lncRNA (ENSAPLG00000023728.1)". The record is from RNAcentral. Lineage: Eukaryota; Metazoa; Chordata; Aves; Anseriformes; Anatidae.